This 610-nucleotide ribosomal RNA is filed under the name uncultured eukaryote. RNAcentral describes it as "SSU rRNA". It matches the Rfam family "Eukaryotic small subunit ribosomal RNA", at positions 585 to 1204 of the family's 1831-position model. The record is from RNAcentral.
CCAGCUCCAAUAGCGUAUAUUAAAGUUGUUGCAGUUAAAACGCUCGUAGUUGAAUUUCGGAGGAGAGUUCUCGGUCUCAAUUCGUUGUGUACUGGGAGACUCGAAUCUUUUUUCCGGGGAAGCAAGGUGUCCUUCACUGGGCGCCUUGGGGAACCAGGACGAUUACCUUGAGAAAAAUAGAGUGUUCAAAGCAGGCUUAUGCUUGAAUACGUUAGCAUGGAAUAAUAAAAUAGGACUUUGGUUCUAUUUUGUUGGUUUUAAGGACCAAUGUCAUGAUGAAUAGGGACAGUUGGGGGCAUUCGUAUUCCGAAGCUAGAGGUGAAAUUCUUGGAUUUUCGGAAGACGAACUACUGCGAAAGCAUUUGCCAAGGAUGUUUUCAUUAAUCAAGAACGAAAGUUAGGGGAUCGAAGACAAUUAGAUACUGUCGUAGUCUUAACCGUAAAUGAUGCCGACUAGGGAUCGGUGAACGUCGAUUGUGACUUCAUCGGCACCUUACGAGAAAUCAAAGUUUUUGGGUUCUGGGGGGAGUAUGGUCGCAAGUCUGAAACUUAAAGGAAUUGACGGAAGGGCACCACCAGGAGUGGAGCCUGCGGCUUAAUUCGACUCAAC